RNAcentral lists this long non-coding RNA (394 nucleotides) under Homo sapiens (human). RNAcentral's name for it is "non-protein coding lnc-CD9-3:2". Lineage: Eukaryota; Metazoa; Chordata; Mammalia; Primates; Hominidae. The record is from RNAcentral.
CACGGCCUGGGAAAAUCAAAGCGAAUCACGUUGACGCAGGCCUCACAGAGGGACAGAGUUUGACUGCGGGACUCAGCCUGAGGCAGGGGACAGAAUCCCUGAGUGUGCUCCUGGCCAGUGGCUUCAUCUCUCAUCUCUCUGUGACUCUGUUUUCUUUAGCUGUCUAUGGAAAGAAUAAGCAUGAGAAGCAUUCAAUUUGAUUCAAACUGAAGCACUGCACCUGCUUUGUGUGAGACACUUUAGCCACCUCAGGGGUACACACACAAAAGCCCACUGUCCCUGCCCUCAAGGAGCCUAUCAUAUAAUGACAGUCACUAAAAUUUGAAGAUCUCUUUACAGUUCACCUUUACUUCUGAUAUGGUUUGGCUCUGUGUGCCCACUCAAAUCUCAUCUU